UACGUAGGUGGCAAGCGUUGUCCGGAUUUACUGGGCGUAAAGCGUAUGCAGGCGGAUACUUAAGUAGAGAGUGAAAGGCGGGAGCUCAACUCCUGGACUGCUCCCUAUACUGGGUGUCUUGAGUGGCGGAGAGGAAGAUGGAACUCCAUGUGUAGCGGUGAAAUGCGUAGAUAUAUGGAGGAACACCAAUGGCGAAAGCAAUCUUCUGGACGCAAACUGACGCUGAGAUACGAAAGCUAUGGUAGCGAACAGG
RNAcentral lists this ribosomal RNA (253 nucleotides) under uncultured bacterium. Its description in RNAcentral is "partial 16S ribosomal RNA". It matches the Rfam family "Bacterial small subunit ribosomal RNA", at positions 524 to 776 of the family's 1533-position model. The record is from RNAcentral.